UACGUAGGGUCCGAGCGUUGUCCGGAAUUAUUGGGCGUAAAGAGCUUGUAGGCGGUUUGUCGCGUCUGCCGUGAAAUUUCGGGGCUCAACCCCGAACUUGCGGUGGGUACGGGCAGACUAGAGUGUGGUAGGGGAGACUGGAAUUCCUGGUGUAGCGGUGAAAUGCGCAGAUAUCAGGAGGAACACCGAUGGCGAAGGCAGGUCUCUGGGCCACUACUGACGCUGAGAAGCGAAAGCAUGGGGAGCGAACAGG
Molecule: ribosomal RNA, 253 nt
Filed under: uncultured bacterium
Lineage: Bacteria
Description: partial 16S ribosomal RNA
Rfam family: Bacterial small subunit ribosomal RNA
Source: RNAcentral